GACGAACGCUGGCGGCGUGCUUAACACAUGCAAGUCGAACGGAAAGGCCCUGCUUUUGUGGGGUGCUCGAGUGGCGAACGGGUGAGUAACACGUGAGUAACCUGCCCUUGACUUUGGGAUAACUUCAGGAAACUGGGGCUAAUACCGGAUAGGAGCUCCUGCUGCAUGGUGGGGGUUGGAAAGUUUCGGCGGUUGGGGAUGGACUCGCGGCUUAUCAGCUUGCUGGUGGGGUAGUGGCUUACCAAGGCUUUGACGGGUAGCCGGCCUGAGAGGGUGACCGGCCACAUUGGGACUGAGAUACGGCCCAGACUCCUACGGGAGGCAGCAGUGGGGAAUAUUGCACAAUGGGCGGAAGCCUGAUGCAGCAACGCCGCGUGCGGGAUGACGGCCUUCGGGUUGUAAACCGCUUUCGCCUGUGACGAAGCGUGAGUGACGGUAAUGGGUAAAGAAGCACCGGCUAACUACGUGCCAGCAGCCGCGGUGAUACGUAGGGUGCGAGCGUUGUCCGGAUUUAUUGGGCGUAAAGGGCUCGUAGGUGGUUGAUCGCGUCGGAAGUGUAAUCUUGGGGCUUAACCCUGAGCGUGCUUUCGAUACGGGUUGACUUGAGGAAGGUAGGGGAGAAUGGAAUUCCUGGUGGAGCGGUGGAAUGCGCAGAUAUCAGGAGGAACACCAGUGGCGAAGGCGGUUCUCUGGGCCUUUCCUGACGCUGAGGAGCGAAAGCGUGGGGAGCGAACAGGCUUAGAUACCCUGGUAGUCCACGCUGUAAACGGUGGGUACUAGGUGUGGGGUCCAUUCCACGGGUUCCGUGCCGUAGCUAACGCUUUAAGUACCCCGCCUGGGGAGUACGGCCGCAAGGCUAAAACUCAAAGGAAUUGACGGGGCCCCGCACAAGCGGCGGAGCAUGCGGAUUAAUUCGAUGCAACGCGUAGAACCUUACCUGGGUUUGACAUGGAUCGGGAGUGCUCAGAGAUGGGUGUGCCUCUUUUGGGGUCGGUUCACAGGUGGUGCAUGGCUGUCGUCAGCUCGUGUCGUGAGAUGUUGGGUUAAGUCCCGCAACGAGCGCAACCCUUGUUCACUGUUGCCAGCACGUUAUGGUGGGGACUCAGUGGAGACCGCCGGGGUCAACUCGGAGGAAGGUGGGGAUGACGUCAAGUCAUCAUGCCCCUUAUGUCCAGGGCUUCACGCAUGCUACAAUGGCUGGUACAGAGAGUGGCGAGCCUGUGAGGGUGAGCGAAUCUCGGAAAGCCGGUCUCAGUUCGGAUUGGGGUCUGCAACUCGACCUCAUGAAGUCGGAGUCGCUAGUAAUCGCAGAUCAGCAACGCUGCGGUGAAUACGUUCCCGGG
Molecule: ribosomal RNA, 1343 nt
Filed under: uncultured bacterium
Lineage: Bacteria
Description: 16S ribosomal RNA
Rfam family: Bacterial small subunit ribosomal RNA
Source: RNAcentral